CAGUACCGCGGGAAUACGAAGGGUGCAAGCGUUACUCGGAAUUACUGGGCGUAAAGCGUGCGUAGGUGGUGGUUUAAGUCCGUUGUGAAAGCCCUGGGCUCAACCUGGGAAUUGCAGUGGAUACUGGGUCACUAGAGUGUGGUAGAGGAUAGUGGAAUUUCCGGUGUAGCAGUGAAAUGCGUAGAGAUCGGAAGGAACAUCUGUGGCGAAGGCGACUAUCUGGGCCAACACUGACACUGAGGCACGAAAGCGUGGGGAGCAAACAGGAUUAGAUACCCCCGUAGUCCCUGUCUCUUAUACA
This 301-nucleotide ribosomal RNA is filed under the name uncultured bacterium. RNAcentral's name for it is "partial 16S ribosomal RNA". It matches the Rfam family "Bacterial small subunit ribosomal RNA", at positions 509 to 808 of the family's 1533-position model. The record is from RNAcentral.